Molecule: ribosomal RNA, 481 nt
Filed under: uncultured bacterium
Lineage: Bacteria
Description: partial 16S ribosomal RNA
Rfam family: Bacterial small subunit ribosomal RNA
Source: RNAcentral
GACGAACGCUGGCGGCGUGCUUAACACAUGCAAGUCGAACGGGAUCCGGGCUUUCGGGUUUGGUGUGAGUGGCGAACGGGUGAGUAACACGUGAGUAACCUGCCCCCUUCUUUGGGAUAACGUCGGGAAAUCGGCGCUAAUACUGGAUAUUCUUGCUGCAUCGCAUGGUGUGGUUUGGAAAGGGUUUCUGGUGGGGGAUGGGCUCGCGGCCUAUCAGCUUGUUGGUGGGGUGAUGGCCUACCAAGGCUUUGACGGGUAGCCGGCCUGAGAGGGUGUCCGGCCACACUGGGACUGAGACACGGCCCAGACUCCUACGGGAGGCAGCAGUGGGGAAUAUUGCACAAUGGGCGCAAGCCUGAUGCAGCGACGCCGCGUGAGGGAUGACGGCCUUCGGGUUGUAAACCUCUUUCAGUAUGGAACAAGGAUCCUUCUUUUGGGGGGUUUGAGGGUACGUGCAGAAGAAGCGCCGGCUAACUACGUG